UCACGGCCGCGGGUAUUUUGACCGUGCAAAGGUAGCGUAAUCACUUGUCUUUUAAAUGAAGACCGUAUGAAAGGCACCACGAGAGUUUAACUGUCUCUAUUUUCUAAUCAAUGAAAUUGAUCUAUUCGUGCAGAAGCGAAUAUAAUAACAUUAGACGAGAAGACCCUAUGGAGCUUCAAACACUUAGACUAAUUAUGUAAUUUUUUACACCUCAGGGCAUAAAUAAAAAUACAAUACUUCUAGUCUAACUGUUUUUGGUUGGGGUGACCAAGGGGAAAAAUAAAUCCCCCUUAUCGACCGAGUACUCAGUACUUGAAAAUUAAAAUGACAAUUUUAAUUAAUAAAAUAUUUAUCGAAAAAUGACCCAGGAUUUCCUGAUCAAUG
Molecule: ribosomal RNA, 384 nt
Filed under: Parmaturus xaniurus
Lineage: Eukaryota; Metazoa; Chordata; Chondrichthyes; Carcharhiniformes; Scyliorhinidae
Description: partial 16S ribosomal RNA
Rfam family: Bacterial large subunit ribosomal RNA
Source: RNAcentral